UGAAGAUUCUGGAAACNGCUCUGCCGCGA
RNAcentral lists this non-coding RNA (29 nucleotides) under Mus musculus (house mouse). Lineage: Eukaryota; Metazoa; Chordata; Mammalia; Rodentia; Muridae. The record is from RNAcentral.